Molecule: unclassified non-coding RNA, 141 nt
Filed under: uncultured Ascomycota
Lineage: Eukaryota; Fungi; Ascomycota
Description: sequence contains ITS1
Source: RNAcentral
CCGAGUUUUAUACUCUAAACCCUGCGAACCCUACCGUCAGUAGCUUCGGCGGCCAGCCCCCGGGGGGGCGCCGUACGGCCGCCGAAAGCAACCAAAACUCUCCUGACAAAAGUCUUCUGAGUGGACUACAAAAACAAGUCA